CUACUAUGUUCAGAGUUUGAUUCUGGCUCAGGAUGAACGCUGGCGGCGUGCUUAACACAUGCAAGUCGAACGGACUUAAUUAACGGAAGUUUUCGGAUGGAAGUUAAAUAAGUUAGUGGCGGACGGGUGAGUAACGCGUGGGUAACCUGCCUCACACAGGGGGAUAACACUUAGAAAUAGGUGCUAAUACCGCAUAAGCGCACGGUGUCGCAUGACACAGUGUGAAAAACUCCGGUGGUGUGAGAUGGACCCGCGUCUGAUUAGCUAGUUGGUGAGGUAACGGCCCACCAAGGCGACGAUCAGUAGCCGGCCUGAGAGGGUGAACGGCCACAUUGGGACUGAGACACGGCCCAA
This 354-nucleotide ribosomal RNA is filed under the name uncultured bacterium. Its description in RNAcentral is "bacterial SSU rRNA". It matches the Rfam family "Bacterial small subunit ribosomal RNA", at positions 1 to 334 of the family's 1533-position model. The record is from RNAcentral.